Molecule: ribosomal RNA, 1449 nt
Filed under: metagenome
Description: bacterial SSU rRNA
Rfam family: Bacterial small subunit ribosomal RNA
Source: RNAcentral
AGAGUUUGAUCAUGGCUCAGAGCGAACGCUGGCGGCAGGCUUAACACAUGCAAGUCGAGCGGGCAUAGCAAUAUGUCAGCGGCAGACGGGUGAGUAACGCGUGGGAACAUACCUUUUGGUUCGGAACAACACAGGGAAACUUGUGCUAAUACCGGAUAAGCCCUUACGGGGAAAGAUUUAUCGCCGAAAGAUUGGCCCGCGUCUGAUUAGCUAGUUGGUGAGGUAACGGCUCACCAAGGCGACGAUCAGUAGCUGGUCUGAGAGGAUGAUCAGCCACAUUGGGACUGAGACACGGCCCAAACUCCUACGGGAGGCAGCAGUGGGGAAUAUUGGACAAUGGGCGCAAGCCUGAUCCAGCCAUGCCGCGUGGGUGAUGAAGGCCCUAGGGUUGUAAAGCUCUUUUGUGCGGGAAGAUAAUGACGGUACCGCAAGAAUAAGCCCCGGCUAACUUCGUGCCAGCAGCCGCGGUAAUACGAAGGGGGCUAGCGUUGCUCGGAAUCACUGGGCGUAAAGGGUGCGUAGGCGGGUCUUUAAGUCAGGGGUGAAAUCCUGGAGCUCAACUCCAGAACUGCCUUUGAUACUGAGGAUCUUGAGUUCGGGAGAGGUGAGUGGAACUGCGAGUGUAGAGGUGAAAUUCGUAGAUAUUCGCAAGAACACCAGUGGCGAAGGCGGCUCACUGGCCCGAUACUGACGCUGAGGCACGAAAGCGUGGGGAGCAAACAGGAUUAGAUACCCCGGUAGUCCACGCCGUAAACGAUGAAUGCCAGCCGUUAGUGGGUUUACUCACUAGUGGCGCAGCUAACGCUUUAAGCAUUCCGCCUGGGGAGUACGGUCGCAAGAUUAAAACUCAAAGGAAUUGACGGGGGCCCGCACAAGCGGUGGAGCAUGUGGUUUAAUUCGACGCAACGCGCAGAACCUUACCAGCCCUUGACAUCCCGGUCGCGGACUCCAGAGAUGGAGUCCUUCAGUUCGGCUGGACCGGAGACAGGUGCUGCAUGGCUGUCGUCAGCUCGUGUCGUGAGAUGUUGGGUUAAGUCCCGCAACGAGCGCAACCCCCGUCCUUAGUUGCUACCAUUUAGUUGAGCACUCUAAGGAGACUGCCGGUGAUAAGCCGCGAGGAAGGUGGGGAUGACGUCAAGUCCUCAUGGCCCUUACGGGCUGGGCUACUCACGUGCUACAAUGGCGGUGACAAUGGGACGCUAAGGGGCAACCCUUCGCAAAUCUCAAAAAGCCGUCUCAGUUCGGAUUGGGCUCUGCAACUCGAGCCCAUGAAGUUGGAAUCGCUAGUAAUCGUGGAUCAGCAUGCCACGGUGAAUACGUUCCCGGGCCUUGUACACACCGCCCGUCACACCAUGGGAGUUGGUUUUACCUGAAGACGGUGCGCUAACCCGCAAGGGAGGCAGCCGGCCACGGUAGGGUCAGCGACUGGGGUGAAGUCGUAACAAGGUA